GACGAACGCUGGCGGCGUGCUUAACACAUGCAAGUCGAACGCUGAAGCCCAGCUUGCUGGGUGGAUGAGUGGCGAACGGGUGAGUAACACGUGAGUAACCUGCCCCCUUCUUUGGGAUAACGCCCGGAAACGGGUGCUAAUACUGGAUAUUCACUGGCUUUCGCAUGGGGGUUGGUGGAAAGGUUUUUUCUGGUGGGGGAUGGGCUCGCGGCCUAUCAGCUUGUUGGUGGGGUGAUGGCCUACCAAGGCUUUGACGGGUAGCCGGCCUGAGAGGGUGACCGGUCACAUUGGGACUGAGAUACGGCCCAGACUCCUACGGGAGGCAGCAGUGGGGAAUAUUGCACAAUGGGCGAAAGCCUGAUGCAGCGACGCCGCGUGAGGGAUGACGGCCUUCGGGUUGUAAACCUCUUUCGCUCAUGGUCAAGCCGCAGCUUUGGGUUGUGGUGAGGGUAGUGGGUAAAGAAGCGCCGGCUAACUACCUGCCAGCUGCCGCGGGAAUACGUAGGGCGGGGCGUUGUCCGGAAUUAUUGGGCCUUGUGGGCUUGUCGCCGUCGGCCCGCCCGCUGUGAAAUCCUCUGGGCUCGCUUCUGGUUGUCUUUGGUCAUCUACUGAUAAUGCGUGGGAUGGG
This 628-nucleotide ribosomal RNA is filed under the name uncultured Actinomyces sp. RNAcentral's name for it is "bacterial SSU rRNA". It matches the Rfam family "Bacterial small subunit ribosomal RNA", at positions 28 to 657 of the family's 1533-position model. The record is from RNAcentral. Lineage: Bacteria; Bacillati; Actinomycetota; Actinomycetes; Actinomycetales; Actinomycetaceae.